UACGGGGGGGGCAAGCGUUGUUCGGAAUUACUGGGCGUAAAGGGCUCGUAGGCGGCCAACUAAGUCGGAUGUGAAAUCCCCAGGCUUAACCGGGGAACUGCGUCUGAUACUGGAUGGCUUGAGGUUGGGAGAGGGAUGCGGAAUUCCAGGUGUAGCGGUGAAAUGCGUAGAUAUCUGGAGGAACACCGGUGGCGAAGGCGGCAUCCUGGACCAACACUGACACUGAGGAGCGAAAGCCAGGGGAGCAAACGGG
This 253-nucleotide ribosomal RNA is filed under the name uncultured bacterium. RNAcentral's name for it is "partial 16S ribosomal RNA". It matches the Rfam family "Bacterial small subunit ribosomal RNA", at positions 524 to 776 of the family's 1533-position model. The record is from RNAcentral.